UGCAGCCUCAGGCAUGUUUAAUAACGAAGCAAGACUCUGACCAUCAGAACAGACAGCUACUGAGAUGCACCAGCACUUUUCCUCACAUCCAGCUCCUUUCUACCUGCUGUUGUUGGGGUCAUAUGGGGAAGCUCCCCACACAUGGGCAGACCAGCAAUCAGAGAACUGGACCAGAAUCAGGACCGGGUUAUAACCCUCAAAGGCCCACCCCUAGUGAUCUGCCUCUACUGGGAUCCUGAUCCAUAUGAUAAAGGAAGCAUAUUGCUCUUUCUGAUCUCCUGGGUGAGAUAAACUCAGCCCCUUGGGAAACCUCUGCAGGAGGGCCUGUGGCAGGAUCUCGUCUGGAAGCCUCUGAAAGCCAAUCUCUCUUCAGAGUCAAUGACAAUGCAACAUGCAUUCUCUGGCCAUUCGAGGUGGAUGGCCAUCUCUACACAGCAUCCCUCUGAAGUCUAGCAUCAGACAUCAAGAGCCUUGGACCAUCUGUCCUGUCAUCAAAAUUCCCGGAGUCCUUGGCCAAGGUGAUAGAGCUGACCAGCCAAGGACUGAAUCCUCCAAAAUCAGGACCUAUCUCUCCAUGGAUUGACCCAUCCCUCCAUGAGUUGAUGCUCCCAGAUAAGCCAUGACCCAUCCCUCCAUGAGCUGAUGCCUCCAGAUAAACUGUGACCCAUCCCUCCAUGAGCUGAUGCUUCCAGAUAAACCAUGACCCAUGCUUCUAUGAGCUGAUACUCCCAGAUAAACCAUGGCCCAUCCCUCCA
Molecule: long non-coding RNA, 755 nt
Organism: Arvicola amphibius (Eurasian water vole)
Lineage: Eukaryota; Metazoa; Chordata; Mammalia; Rodentia; Cricetidae
Exons: 4
Source: RefSeq, a predicted model, not a curated record